RNAcentral lists this ribosomal RNA (495 nucleotides) under uncultured bacterium. RNAcentral describes it as "bacterial SSU rRNA". It matches the Rfam family "Bacterial small subunit ribosomal RNA", at positions 28 to 509 of the family's 1533-position model. The record is from RNAcentral.
GAUGAACGCUAGCGGCAGGCUUAAUACAUGCAAGUUGAGGGGCAGCAUGAUAUACGCGAGUAUAUUGAUGGCGACCGGCGGACGGGUGAGUAAUAGGUAGGAGACCUACCUCAUACAGGGGGAUAGCAUAGAGAAAUCUGUGGUAAUACCCCAUGAGGUUAUAUGAAUAGAGGCAUAUAAUCAAAGCAUAAGCGAUUAUGCGGUAUGAGAGGGGCCUACUGACCAUUAGCUAGUUGGUGAGGUAAGGGCUCACCAAGGCGAAGAUGGUUAGGGGUUUUGAGAGAGAGACCCCCCACAUUGGAACUGAGAGACGGUCCAGACUCCUACGGGAGGCAGCAGUAGGGAAUAUUGGGCAAUGGGCGAAAGCCUGACCCAGCCAUGCCGCGUGAAGGAGACGGCCUUAUGGGUUGUAAACUUCUUUACUACGCGAAUAGAGGUUAGUACGAGAUACUAAUAGGAAGGUAGUGUAGUAAAAGCACCGGCUAACUCCGUGCC